UUGGUUCUAAAAAUUCGAGUGCUCGAUA
RNAcentral lists this non-coding RNA (28 nucleotides) under Bombyx mori (domestic silkworm). The record is from RNAcentral. Lineage: Eukaryota; Metazoa; Arthropoda; Insecta; Lepidoptera; Bombycidae.